Molecule: ribosomal RNA, 447 nt
Filed under: uncultured bacterium
Lineage: Bacteria
Description: bacterial SSU rRNA
Rfam family: Bacterial small subunit ribosomal RNA
Source: RNAcentral
UCGGGAAUUUUGGGCAAUGGGGGAAACCCUGACCCAGCAACGCCGCGUGAAGGAUGAAGUAUUUCGGUAUGUAAACUUCGAAAGAAUAGGAAGGAUAAAUGACGGUACUAUUUAUAAGGUCCGGCUAACUACGUGCCAGCAGCCGCGGUAAUACGUAGGGACCAAGCGUUGUUCGGAUUUACUGGGCGUAAAGGGCGCGUAGGCGGCAUGACAAGUCACUUGUGAAAUCUCUGGGCUUAACCCAGAACGGCCAAGUGAUACUGUCGCGCUAGAGUGCAGAAGGGGCAAUCGGAAUUCUUGGUGUAGCGGUGAAAUGCGUAGAUAUCAAGAGGAACACCUGAGGUGAAGACGGGUUGCUGGGCUGACACUGACGCUGAGGCGCGAAAGCCAGGGGAGCAAACGGGAUUAGAUACCCCCGUAGUCCCUGAGCGGGCUGGCAAGGCGCAU